RNAcentral lists this long non-coding RNA (222 nucleotides) under Microtus ochrogaster (prairie vole). RNAcentral's name for it is "Prostate androgen-regulated transcript 1 conserved region 1 (ENSMOCG00000006046.1)". It matches the Rfam family "Prostate androgen-regulated transcript 1 conserved region 1". The record is from RNAcentral. Lineage: Eukaryota; Metazoa; Chordata; Mammalia; Rodentia; Cricetidae.
CAGAAGCUGCCUUCAAAUGCAGCUUGGCUGGGGUUCACAGUGGGGGGAAAAAGCAGGAAUAGCCCUGCCAGGUCCCAGAAGCUUUAAGAUUCAUCGCACUGAACUUGAUACACACAGCAAAGCACCUUGAAAAUGAAUUAUCCGCUAGUUCGGUAUUUUCUCCUUGCAAUCACUCCCUCCCAGGGCAUGUAAUUAAUUUCCUGAGUUUCGAAAAAAAAAAAA